GGACGAACGCUGGCGGCGUGCCUAACACAUGCAAGUCGAGCGAGGAGAUUCCUUCGGGAUGAUCCUAGCGGCGGACGGGUGAGUAACACGUGGGCAACCUGCCUCAUAGAGAGGAAUAGCCUUCCGAAAGGGAGAUUAAUACCUCAUAACAUUGCAGUUUCGCAUGGAACAGCAAUUAAAGGAGUAAUCCGCUAUGAGAUGGGCCCGCGGCGCAUUAGCUAGUUGGUGAGGUAACGGCUCACCAGGGCGACGAUGCGUAGCCGACCUGAGAGGGUGAUCGGCCACAUUGGGACUGAGACACGGCCCAGACUCCUACGGGAGGCAGCAGUGGGGAAUAUUGCACAAUGGGGGAAACCCUGAUGCAAGCAACGCCGCGUGAGUGAUGACGGCCUUCGGGUUGUAAAGCUCUGUCUUCAGGGACGAUAAUGACGGUACCUGAGGAGGAAGCCACGGCUAACUACGUGCCAGCCGCAGC
RNAcentral lists this ribosomal RNA (475 nucleotides) under uncultured bacterium. Its description in RNAcentral is "bacterial SSU rRNA". It matches the Rfam family "Bacterial small subunit ribosomal RNA", at positions 27 to 518 of the family's 1533-position model. The record is from RNAcentral.